RNAcentral lists this long non-coding RNA (638 nucleotides) under Mus pahari (shrew mouse). Its description in RNAcentral is "lncRNA (MGP_PahariEiJ_G0003140.1)". Lineage: Eukaryota; Metazoa; Chordata; Mammalia; Rodentia; Muridae. The record is from RNAcentral.
AGGGACAUGGAGAAAGCAGCAUCUCUCCACCACCUUCCACCAAUCUCGCUCACACCUGUGGCCUCUUCUCAGAGUUUGCCUCCGCCAACUUGAGAACAGGGGCCUCACUGCUCUGUCAGCUGGUCCUUCCCGACAGCCUUGUACAGAGCCUCCGACCUGCAAACGUCUGCUAACGUAACCGAUGGAGUUGAGGAGGUCAUCGUUCUAUCGCCACCUAGUGGACACUUUUCCAAACUGCGGGGUUGGGGAGGAAGAUGCCCGCGAUUGACCAGGCUGGAGGUGGUGGCUAGGAGCCUUCAUAUCUGAACUCUGCUUUCCUGGUACAAGUCCCUUGGAGCAGAGACUUCCUGGAAGAGCAGGAGGAGGGCCAGGGGCCAAGAAGAAACAGGAUCAGGGACAGCUGAGGUGAUCUGGAAGAUGAGGAAGAAAAUGACGAACAGGAGGAGAGGGAAUUUCCAGGGCUGUCACUUUGAACGCAUGAUGAGGUAGGCCAUUUAACCCCACAAAGACCAGUGAAGCACAUGGUGGGACUCCUGUUUUACACACGUGGAAACCGAGGCACGGACAAAUGAAGUGGUUUGUUCUGGACCUCAGGCCCUCUCGGAAGUGGAUCUGAAUGAAGGCCAUCUUUGCCGAUG